Cavia porcellus (domestic guinea pig) is the source of this 642-nucleotide long non-coding RNA. RefSeq lists it as uncharacterized. The record is from RefSeq and is a predicted model, not a curated record. Lineage: Eukaryota; Metazoa; Chordata; Mammalia; Rodentia; Caviidae. The transcript has 3 exons.
GGAAAGUCAACAGCCAUAUUUGCCGAUGUGGAAAUCAGGCUUCAGAGAGAUGUUAAUGGGACCCACCAUGAGCCCCCUGAUAGACCACCUGCAGAUGACGAAGACCUCCUGAUUGCUAGAUGGUGCUGCGUGACUCGGAUCGGCAGGCGAGUGAUCUGGAAUCCCCAUUCCGAGUCCCCUGCUGAUUCACGAACCAGACUGCGUCCUGAAUUAAUUCCUCACUUCUCAACACUUGGGAGCUGCUAAACUUGUCACUGCUGGUUUGCAAACAACAACAGUCUAAUUCAUUUACCACAGAGAUAACAGCAACACUUGAAAUUCUGAGACAGGUAAACCGACACAAGGUGGAGCUACCUGGGCCCCCCACCCUUGGACCAUGCCUCAAAUGCAGCAGAAGGACAUUGGGCAAGAGAGUGCCCCAACCUGGCGUUCCUUUGGGAUCUUACCCCAGGGCUCUGGACUGUCCUAGCCACCAGAGAGUGGGUAAGCCAUCCUAACUUCUAGCCCUUACAGGAAAUGCCAACACUGCCAGAUUCAUCGCUGACAGAUCUGCUUAAACUUGCUGCUGAAGACUUACGUGGCUCAGGGCCAACAGUAGCCCACUUUAAGGUGUCUGUCUCAGAGUCCAAGUCCCACUAAAAG